GAAACGCGACAACACCGGCUAAUUGGCACUGAUCGGCAGAAAAAGGAGGAGAGACUUCUUUCCAAGAUGAUGAUGUUUGGGAAUUGGUCAAAUCUAGAGAAUAAGAUAAGCGUGGAUCUGGGCAAUGAAAAACUCCUCCUCCUGAGUGUUGGUGGCCACUUUGAUAUAUUUGACACCCAAAGAUGUAAAUUCUGGAAUCCAAAGCAACCAUGGAACUCAAUGGAGCAGCACCAUGUUGCAGUGUACGAGUAAGGUUCGAGACUUUACCAGUGUGGAGAUCCAAAAUAUAGUAACCAGUCUUGUUGAAAAUACAACGUCCUGCAAAAUCAUACUCGUCCUCCACCUCGGUCUGCCUGGCCUGUAGUACUAGUAAAAGCUGCUGCU
This 384-nucleotide long non-coding RNA is filed under the name Daucus carota (carrot). Its description in RNAcentral is "long non-coding RNA (DCAR_LNC004331)". The record is from RNAcentral. Lineage: Eukaryota; Viridiplantae; Streptophyta; Magnoliopsida; Apiales; Apiaceae.